UGGUGGAUGUGGGCGAAAUGAAGGAGCGUUAGUGGUGGCCUCGAAGAAGUUCGCGGCGACGAAGAGGUGAAGGAAGCGUGAAGAGGAAAAUUUUUGUGGUGUGCCGAAGAAGAGGAGCCUUUUCUUUUUAUUUUUGGUUUUCUUUUUCAUUUUUCAAGAGAGAGCCAAGUUGAGUGCCCGUGGAAGCUAGCUGACCAUGAGAGAGAUUCCUUCUCCUCUUUUAUUUUCUUUUUCUUUUGUUUUUAGUGAGC
Molecule: long non-coding RNA, 251 nt
Filed under: Lathyrus oleraceus (garden pea)
Lineage: Eukaryota; Viridiplantae; Streptophyta; Magnoliopsida; Fabales; Fabaceae
Description: Pisum sativum (pea) long non-coding RNA (PSAT_LNC004763)
Source: RNAcentral